ACGCUCGACACCUACGGGAGGCGGCAGUGGGGAAUAUUGCACAAUGGGGGAAACCCUGAUGCAGCGACGCCGCGUGGAGGAAGAAGGUCUUCGGAUUGUAAACUCCUGUUGUUGGGGAAAAAGAGGAUGGUACCCAACAAGGAAGUGACGGCUAACUACGUGCCAGUAGCCGCGGUAAUCUGAGCGGGCGUGGCGAAGGCG
This 201-nucleotide ribosomal RNA is filed under the name uncultured bacterium. RNAcentral describes it as "partial 16S ribosomal RNA". It matches the Rfam family "Bacterial small subunit ribosomal RNA", at positions 328 to 544 of the family's 1533-position model. The record is from RNAcentral.